CCCAAACAAAGUUAGCGUGCUACAAUAUCGGACAGUAGAAACCAACCAGAAAGUUCGGAAAAUUGUCUGAAUCCUCCUUUGGCCACGACUGCCGACACAAGCAAGAAAACACUCAAACAUAAACAGUCAACAAGAAAACAGUCAGCAAGAAAACAGUCAACAAGAAAACAGUCAACACCAAACCGGUCAACAGGAAAACGGUCAACACCAAAACAGUCAACAAAAAACAGUCAGCAAGAAAACAG
Molecule: non-coding RNA, 245 nt
Organism: Xyrichtys novacula (pearly razorfish)
Lineage: Eukaryota; Metazoa; Chordata; Actinopteri; Labriformes; Labridae
Source: the annotation of a GenBank genome assembly